CCUACGGGGGGCAGCAGUGAGGAAUAUUGGUCAAUGGCCGGAAGGCUGAACCAGCCAUGCCGCGUGAAGGGCAGGGCCCUAGGGGCGUUAAACUUCUUUUGGGCGGGAGAAAGAAUGGGCACGGGGGGCCAGACGAGAGUACCGUACGAAGAAGCAUCGGCUAACCCCGGGCCAGCAGCCGCGGGAAUACGGGGGAUGCAAGCGUUAUCCGGCGUUAUUGGGUUUAAAGGGGGCGGAGGCUGUGAGGUAAGUCAGCGGUGAAUUGCCCCCGCUCAACGGGGUGAAGUGCCAUUGAUACUGCCUUGCUGGACUGCGGAUGCCGUGGGCGGAAUGUGUGGUGUAGCGGU
This 347-nucleotide ribosomal RNA is filed under the name uncultured bacterium. Its description in RNAcentral is "partial 16S ribosomal RNA". It matches the Rfam family "Bacterial small subunit ribosomal RNA", at positions 338 to 682 of the family's 1533-position model. The record is from RNAcentral.